RNAcentral lists this ribosomal RNA (468 nucleotides) under uncultured bacterium. RNAcentral describes it as "partial 16S ribosomal RNA". It matches the Rfam family "Bacterial small subunit ribosomal RNA", at positions 28 to 507 of the family's 1533-position model. The record is from RNAcentral.
GACGAACGCUGGCGGCGUGCUUAACACAUGCAAGUCGAACGGAAAGGCCCUGCUUUUGUGGGGUGCUCGAGUGGCGAACGGGUGAGUAACACGUGAGUAACCUUCCCUUGACUUUGGGAUAACUUCAGGAAACUGGUGCUAAUACCGGAUAGGAGCUCCUGCUGCAUGGUGGGGGUUGGAAAGUUUCGGCGGUUGGGGAUGGACUCGCGGCUUAUCAGCUUGUUGGUGGGGUAGUGGCUUACCAAGGCUUUGACGGGUAGCCGGCCUGAGAGGGUGACCGGCCACAUUGGGACUGAGAUACGGCCCAGACUCCUACGGGAGGCAGCAGUGGGGAAUAUUGCACAAUGGGCGGAAGCCUGAUGCAGCAACGCCGCGUGCGGGAUGAAGGCCUUCGGGUUGUAAACCGCUUUCGCCUGUGACGAAGCGUGAGUGACGGUAAUGGGUAAAGAAGCACCGGCUAACUACGUG